AAGCGUAAUAGCUCACUGGUCGAGUCGGCCUGCGCGGAAGAUGUAACGGGGCUAAGCGAUACACCGAAGCUGCGGCAAUGCGAUUUAUCGUAUUGGGUAGGGGAGCGUUGUGUAAGCCGUUGAAGGUGUGCUGAGAGGCAUGCUGGAGGUAUCACAAGUGCGAAUGCUGACAUGAGUAACGAUAAAGGGGGUGAAAAACCUCCUCGCCGGAAGACCAAGGGUUCCUGUCCAACGUUAAUCGGGGCAGGGUAAGUCGGCCCCUAAGGCGAGGCCGAAAGG
Molecule: ribosomal RNA, 279 nt
Filed under: Serratia symbiotica
Lineage: Bacteria; Pseudomonadati; Pseudomonadota; Gammaproteobacteria; Enterobacterales; Yersiniaceae
Description: partial 23S ribosomal RNA
Rfam family: Bacterial large subunit ribosomal RNA
Source: RNAcentral